AAAGGGAGGAGUCACUUGCAAGCUGUGUAGUGGGGGCUAUAUAAUCUGACAGUGAGCACAGCUCUGUUUGACAUUGAGGCUCUGGCACACAAAACUUACUGUAGUGUUGAUUAUUUCCAUUUUCAUUUUUUGUUUAUAUUUAACCAUUCUCUAUGAAGAAAUGUAUUUCUUUAAAACCCAGUCACCAUUUGUCUAUGCAAUGGAAAAAGAGAAAUUGCAGGAAUGCUGCUGGUCUAAAGCCUACUUGAAAUCAUUGGGUGCAAGGAAGGAGUGCCUUCUGGAGUGGGCACCAGUCCAUCACAUUCAGUGUUACAUUCAGUGUAUUAUCUUAUUGACUUCACUUGCGUAACAUUUGGUAGAACAUGUUUAGCAUUAAAAUAAAAGCUGACAAAAGA
Molecule: long non-coding RNA, 395 nt
Organism: Astyanax mexicanus (Mexican tetra)
Lineage: Eukaryota; Metazoa; Chordata; Actinopteri; Characiformes; Acestrorhamphidae
Exons: 2
Source: RefSeq, a predicted model, not a curated record